This 481-nucleotide small RNA is filed under the name Pan troglodytes (chimpanzee). Its description in RNAcentral is "retained intron". The record is from RNAcentral. Lineage: Eukaryota; Metazoa; Chordata; Mammalia; Primates; Hominidae.
AGUCCGCUGGUCCCGAGCACGAGCUGUGAGGGGAUUCACUUGUGUGCGGAACUCCUCGGAACCAUGGCGUCCCUUUCCCUUGCACCUGUUAACAUCUUUAAGGCAGGAGCUGAUGAAGAGAGAGCAGAGACAGCUCGUCUGACUUCUUUUAUUGGUGCCAUCGCCAUUGGAGACUUGGUAAAGAGCACCUUGGGACCCAAAGGCAUGGACAAAAUUCUUCUAAGCAGUGGACGAGAUGCCUCUCUUAUGGUAACUAAUGAUGGUGCCACUAUUCUAAAAAACAUUGGUGUUGACAAUCCAGCAGCUAAAGUUUUAGUUGGUAAGUCUGAAUAUACUUUUUCACCAACCUAAUAAUACUGUUUGUUAACAUUUUUGAAAUAACUUUAUAAAUAGGCUGUGUUGACCAAUCAUACUGUCAAUUGAUGUCCACUAGUUUUUAAUUAUCGUUGUUAAAAUACAAGCUUCAGGAGUGCCCGUAUGU